This 804-nucleotide ribosomal RNA is filed under the name Aedes esoensis. Its description in RNAcentral is "partial 16S ribosomal RNA". The stretch from base 1 to 562 matches the Rfam family "Bacterial large subunit ribosomal RNA", at positions 1861 to 2925 of the family's 2925-position model. The record is from RNAcentral. Lineage: Eukaryota; Metazoa; Arthropoda; Insecta; Diptera; Culicidae.
GCCCACUGAUUAUUAUUAAAGGGCCGCAGUAUUUUGACUGUGCGAAGGUAGCAUAAUCAAUAGUCUUUUAAUUGAAGGCUCGUAUGAAUGGUUGAAUGAGGUAUAUACUGUCUUUUUUAAAUUUUUAUAGAAUUUUAUUUUUUAAUUAAAAAGUUAAAAUGUAAUUAAAGGACGAGAAGACCCUAUAGAUCUUUAUUUUUGUUAAUUAUAGAAUAAAAAGAAUAUUAAAUUUUAUAAUUUAAUAAAAAAUUUUACUGGGGUGGUAUUAAAAUUUAAAAAACUUUUAUUAUUUAUUUACAUAAAUAUAUGUAUAUUUGAUCCAGUUUUAUUGAUUAAAAAAUUAAGUUACCUUAGGGAUAACAGCGUAAUUUUUUUUUAGAGUUCAUAUCGACAAAAAAGAUUGCGACCUCGAUGUUGGAUUAAGAGUUAUUUUUAGGUGUAGAAGUUUAAAGUUUAGGUCUGUUCGACCUUUGAAUUCUUACAUGAUCUGAGUUCAAACCGGCGUAAGCCAGGUUGGUUUCUAUCCUUAAUAAAAUAUUAUAUUAUAGUACGAAAGGACCUAAUAUAAAAAAUAUAGAUUUUAAAUUUAUGAAUUAUAUUAAUAUUUAAUAAAACUAUUUUGGCAGAUUAGUGCAAUAAAUUUAGAAUUUAUUUAUAUAAUUUAAUUAAUUAUAAAUAGUAUUGUUUUAUAUAGAUUAUUUAUUAUCGUUAAUUGGAAGUUUAUUAUUAGUAAUUUGUGUAAUAGUUGGAGUUGCUUUUUUAACUUUAUUAGAACGUAAAGUUUUAGGAUAUAUUCAAAUUCGU